Molecule: long non-coding RNA, 1015 nt
Organism: Mercurialis annua (annual mercury)
Lineage: Eukaryota; Viridiplantae; Streptophyta; Magnoliopsida; Malpighiales; Euphorbiaceae
Exons: 2
Source: RefSeq, a predicted model, not a curated record
CUUUCAUCAAUGCUAUUUUUUUCUUUACUUUUAUGAGCUAAAAACAGUAAAAGAUUACAUGUUUUACGUGAAUCAUCCCUACCCUACAUCUGUCACUUUCAUUUCUAUUUCUCCUCAUCUUUUUCCUCUACUCACCCUACUCUCUCAUCUCAUUUCUCUGCUCAUCUCCGUCCUUCUCUCUUCCGUUUCUCCUUCCUCUUCUUUUUUCUCUCGUUUCAUCUCUCUCUAGAAUUUUCUCCUUUUCUAGAUAUAAUCAAGAAAACUCCUUUUCACAAACUGAAGGUCCAUUAAAAUGCAAAAUCAAAAGAACCUAAUAGAAUUUACACAAAAAGAUUGAAACUUUUUUAAAAAAUUUUAAAAACCCAAUUGGAUUUACAAAUAAAGAUUGGUACUUUCUUGAUGAAAUUGAAACAAAGAUUAUAUAUGAGUUCAUCUCGACAAGUGUUGUGGCCAUACAAGAAAAACAAGAAUUGAAGAAUCGAAAGUUGUCCAAAUUGGUUGUCCAUUUCUGAGAUUUGUUGUGAUAAAAAGAUUAACAGAAAUUGGAUAAAUGAGAGAAAAAGAAAAAAAUUGAAUAAUCUAAAUUCGCGUAAAUCGAGAGAAAUAGGAAGAGAAAUGACAUAAGGGGUGGUUUGGUUGCAGAGAAAGGUAAUGUGUUGUGUAUGUGAUAUAUAUGGUAAGUGAGUGUUUCAGAAUCACUAGACCCAUUUCUUUAAAAUAAACAAUUACUACUUUUUGUAAUUGCCAUUAUCACCUUCAAUCUUCAGUUUAAUUUGUAGUUUUUUUCCCUUUUGUUUUUGAAUAUUGUUGCUUCAUGGGUUCUAAUGGAUGCUGCUUCCUUUACAUCUAGUAAAAGGAAUUAGGGAUUGUUGAAGAGAAGAAACCGGAAAAUACAAAGCAUGGCGUGAACAAUAUACAUAUCUAUGCUAUGCAGAUUUUAAGAGUUAGAAUUAUAUUUUAUAUGUAUUUGAGAUGUAUUAUUUAUGUAUUUGAAAUGUUAAUAUAUCGUUUUUUA